RNAcentral lists this ribosomal RNA (1430 nucleotides) under uncultured bacterium. RNAcentral's name for it is "bacterial SSU rRNA". It matches the Rfam family "Bacterial small subunit ribosomal RNA". The record is from RNAcentral.
UUGACUGCGGCGUGCUUACACAUGCAAGUCGAACGAUGAAGCCCAGCUUGCUGGGUGGAUUAGUGGCGAACGGGUGAGUAACACGUGAGUAACCUGCCCUUGACUCUGGGAUAAGCGUUGGAAACGACGUCUAAUACCGGAUACGAGCUUCCACCGCAUGGUGAGUUGCUGGAAAGAAUUUUGGUCAAGGAUGGACUCGCGGCCUAUCAGCUUGUUGGUGAGGUAACGGCUCACCAAGGCGACGACGGGUAGCCGGCCUGAGAGGGUGACCGGCCACACUGGGACUGAGACACGGCCCAGACUCCUACGGGAGGCAGCAGUGGGGAAUAUUGCACAAUGGGCGAAAGCCUGAUGCAGCAACGCCGCGUGAGGGACGACGGCCUUCGGGUUGUAAACCUCUUUUAGCAGGGAAGAAGCGAAAGUGACGGUACCUGCAGAAAAAGCACCGGCUAACUACGUGCCAGCAGCCGCGGUAAUACGUAGGGUGCAAGCGUUGUCCGGAAUUAUUGGGCGUAAAGAGCUCGUAGGCGGUUUGUCGCGUCUGCUGUGAAAUCCCGAGGCUCAACCUCGGGUCUGCAGUGGGUACGGGCAGACUAGAGUGCGGUAGGGGAGAUUGGAAUUCCUGGUGUAGCGGUGGAAUGCGCAGAUAUCAGGAGGAACACCGAUGGCGAAGGCAGAUCUCUGGGCCGCUACUGACGCUGAGGAGCGAAAGGGUGGGGAGCAAACAGGCUUAGAUACCCUGGUAGUCCACCCCGUAAACGUUGGGCGCUAGAUGUGGGGACCAUUCCACGGUUUCCGUGUCGUAGCUAACGCAUUAAGCGCCCCGCCUGGGGAGUACGGCCGCAAGGCUAAAACUCAAAGGAAUUGACGGGGGCCCGCACAAGCGGCGGAGCAUGCGGAUUAAUUCGAUGCAACGCGAAGAACCUUACCAAGGCUUGACAUAUACGAGAACGGGCCAGAAAUGGUCAACUCUUUGGACACUCGUAAACAGGUGGUGCAUGGUUGUCGUCAGCUCGUGUCGUGAGAUGUUGGGUUAAGUCCCGCAACGAGCGCAACCCUCGUUCUAUGUUGCCAGCACGUAAUGGUGGGAACUCAUGGGAUACUGCCGGGGUCAACUCGGAGGAAGGUGGGGACGACGUCAAAUCAUCAUGCCCCUUAUGUCUUGGGCUUCACGCAUGCUACAAUGGCCAGUACAAAGGGCUGCAAUACCGUAAGGUGGAGCGAAUCCCAAAAAGCUGGUCCCAGUUCGGAUUGAGGUCUGCAACUCGACCUCAUGAAGUCGGAGUCGCUAGUAAUCGCAGAUCAGCAACGCUGCGGUGAAUACGUUCCCGGGCCUUGUACACACCGCCCGUCAAGUCAUGAAAGUCGGUAACACCCGAAGCCAGUGGCCUAACCGCAAGGAAGGAGCUGUCUAAGGUGAUCGUAGCCUU